UGGGGAAUAUUGGACAAUGGGCGCAAGCCUGAUCCAGCCAUGCCGCGUGAGUGAUGAAGGCCCUAGGGUUGUAAAGCUCUUUCACCGGUGAAGAUAAUGACGGUAACCGGAGAAGAAGCCCCGGCUAACUUCGUGCCAGCAGCCGCGGUAAUACGAAGGGGGCUAGCGUUGUUCGGAUUUACUGGGCGUAAAGCGCACGUAGGCGGACUUUUAAGUCAGGGGUGAAAUCCCGGGGCUCAACCCCGGAACUGCCUUUGAUACUGGAAGUCUUGAGUAUGGUAGAGGUGAGUGGAAUUCCGAGUGUAGAGGUGAAAUUCGUAGAUACUCGGAGGAACACCAGUGGCGAAGGCGGCUCACUGGACCAUUACUGACGCUGAGGUGCGAAAGCGUGGGGAGCAAACAGG
Molecule: ribosomal RNA, 404 nt
Filed under: Pseudomonas sp.
Lineage: Bacteria; Pseudomonadati; Pseudomonadota; Gammaproteobacteria; Pseudomonadales; Pseudomonadaceae
Also listed under: 3 other names
Description: partial 16S ribosomal RNA
Rfam family: Bacterial small subunit ribosomal RNA
Source: RNAcentral